This 810-nucleotide ribosomal RNA is filed under the name uncultured bacterium. RNAcentral describes it as "bacterial SSU rRNA". It matches the Rfam family "Bacterial small subunit ribosomal RNA", at positions 68 to 869 of the family's 1533-position model. The record is from RNAcentral.
AGCACAGAGGAGCUUGCUCCUUGGGUGGCGAGUGGCGGACGGGUGAGGAAUACAUCGGAAUCUACUCAGUCGUGGGGGAUAACGUAGGGAAACUUACGCUAAUACCGCAUACGACCUACGGGUGAAAGCAGGGGAUCUUCGGACCUUGCGCGAUUGAAUGAGCCGAUGUCGGAUUAGCUAGUUGGCGGGGUAAAGGCCCACCAAGGCGACGAUCCGUAGCUGGUCUGAGAGGAUGAUCAGCCACACUGGAACUGAGGCACGGUCCAGACUCCUACGGGAGGCAGCAGUGGGGAAUAUUGGACAAUGGGCGCAAGCCUGAUCCAGCCAUACCGCGUGGGUGAAGAAGGCCUUCGGGUUGUAAAGCCCUUUUGUUGGGAAAGAAAUCCAGCUGGCUAAUACCCGGUUGGGAUGACGGUACCCAAAGAAUAAGCACCGGCUAACUUCGUGCCAGCAGCCGCGGUAAUACGAAGGGUGCAAGCGUUACUCGGAAUUACUGGGCGUAAAGCGUGCGUAGGUGGUCGUUUAAGUCCGUUGUGAAAGCCCUGGGCUCAACCUGGGAACUGCAGUGGAUACUGGGCGACUAGAGUGUGGUAGAGGGUAGCGGAAUUCCUGGUGUAGCAGUGAAAUGCGUAGAGAUCAGGAGGAACAUCCAUGGCGAAGGCAGCUACCUGGACCAACACUGACACUGAGGCACGAAAGCGUGGGGAGCAAACAGGAUUAGAUACCCUGGUAGUCCACGCCCUAAACGAUGCGAACUGGAUGUUGGGUGCAAUUUGGCACGCAGUAUCGAAGCUAACGCGUUAAGUUCGC